This 416-nucleotide ribosomal RNA is filed under the name uncultured bacterium. RNAcentral's name for it is "bacterial SSU rRNA". It matches the Rfam family "Bacterial small subunit ribosomal RNA", at positions 64 to 512 of the family's 1533-position model. The record is from RNAcentral.
GAGCGAGAAAGUGGAGCAAUCCAUGAGUACAGCGGCGCACGGGUGAGUAACACGUGACUAACCUACCCUCGAGUGGGGAAUAACCUGGGGAAACCCGGGCUAAUACCGCGUAACACCUACGGGUCAAAGGAGCAAUUCGCUUGAGGAGGGGGUCGCGGCCGAUUAGUUAGUUGGCAGGGUAAUGGCCUACCAAGACGAUGAUCGGUAUCCGGCCUGAGAGGGCGCACGGACACACUGGAACUGAAACACGGUCCAGACUCCUACGGGAGGCAGCAGUGGGGAAUUUUGCGCAAUGGGGGAAACCCUGACGCAGCAACGCCGCGUGGAGGAUGAAGUCCUUCGGGACGUAAACUCCUUUCGAUCGGGACGAUAAUGACGGUACCGGAAGAAGAAGCCCCGGCUAACUUCGUGCCACA